CAAGGUGGGGAUACCGGGUUUCGGCAUCCACUAAAGUUUUGCUAAUAUAAUAGAUAGGAUAUUGUGUACCUUUAUUUUUGCGCACCAGGACGGCGCUGACUGCAACUUCUGAUACGGCCAAAUAUACCAGUAGCGGCUCACCUGGGUUGGCUUUUACUAGCAGGGGAGGUGAUGAUAAGUAUGCUUUCAAGCUUUUCAGAGCUUCUACACACUCUAUGUUCCACUGCAGUCCCUUGUCUU
RNAcentral lists this long non-coding RNA (240 nucleotides) under Nicotiana benthamiana. RNAcentral describes it as "long non-coding RNA (NBEN_LNC007444)". Lineage: Eukaryota; Viridiplantae; Streptophyta; Magnoliopsida; Solanales; Solanaceae. The record is from RNAcentral.